Molecule: ribosomal RNA, 1441 nt
Filed under: uncultured organism
Description: SSU rRNA
Rfam family: Bacterial small subunit ribosomal RNA
Source: RNAcentral
UCAGGACGAACGCUGGCGGCGUGCUUAACACAUGCAAGUCGAACGGAAAGGCCCUGCUUUUGUGGGGUGCUCGAGUGGCGAACGGGUGAGUAACACGUGAGUAACCUGCCCUUGACUUUGGGAUAACUUCAGGAAACUGGGGCUAAUACCGGAUAGGAGCUCCUGCUGCAUGGUGGGGGUUGGAAAGUUUCGGCGGUUGGGGAUGGACUCGCGGCUUAUCAGCUUGUUGGUGGGGUAGUGGCUUACCAAGGCUUUGACGGGUAGCCGGCCUGAGAGGGUGACCGGCCACAUUGGGACUGAGAUACGGCCCAGACUCCUACGGGAGGCAGCAGUGGGGAAUAUUGCACAAUGGGCGGAAGCCUGAUGCAGCAACGCCGCGUGCGGGAUGACGGCCUUCGGGUUGUAAACCGCUUUCGCCUGUGACGAAGCGUGAGUGACGGUAAUGGGUAAAGAAGCACCGGCUAACUACGUGCCAGCAGCCGCGGUGAUACGUAGGGUGCGAGCGUUGUCCGGAUUUAUUGGGCGUAAAGGGCUCGUAGGUGGUUGAUCGCGUCGGAAGUGUAAUCUUGGGGCUUAACCCUGAGCGUGCUUUCGAUACGGGUUGACUUGAGGAAGGUAGGGGAGAAUGGAAUUCCUGGUGGAGCGGUGGGAUGCGCAGAUAUCAGGAGGAACACCAGUGGCGAAGGCGGUUCUCUGGGCCUUUCCUGACGCUGAGGAGCGAAAGCGUGGGGAGCGAACAGGCUUAGAUACCCUGGUAGUCCACGCUGUAAACGGUGGGUACUAGGUGUGGGGUCCAUUCCACGGGUUCCGUGCCGUAGCUAACGCUUUAAGUACCCCGCCUGGGGAGUACGGCCGCAAGGCUAAAACUCAAAGGAAUUGACGGGGCCCCGCACAAGCGGCGGAGCAUGCGGAUUAAUUCGAUGCAACGCGUAGAACCUUACCUGGGUUUGACAUGGAUCGGGAGUGCUCAGAGAUGGGUGUGCCUCUUUUGGGGUCGGUUCACAGGUGGUGCAUGGCUGUCGUCAGCUCGUGUCGUGAGAUGUUGGGUUAAGUCCCGCAACGAGCGCAACCCUUGUUCACUGUUGCCAGCACGUUAUGGUGGGGACUCAGUGGAGACCGCCGGGGUCAACUCGGAGGAAGGUGGGGAUGACGUCAAGUCAUCAUGCCCCUUAUGUCCAGGGCUUCACGCAUGCUACAAUGGCUGGUACAGAGAGUGGCGAGCCUGUGAGGGUGAGCGAAUCUCGGAAAGCCGGUCUCAGUUCGGAUUGGGGUCUGCAACUCGACCUCAUGAAGUCGGAGUCGCUAGUAAUCGCAGAUCAGCAACGCUGCGGUGAAUACGUUCCCGGGGCUUGUACACACCGCCCGUCAAGUCAUGAAAGUUGGUAACACCCGAAGCCGGUGGCCUAACCGUUGUGGGGGAGCCGUCGAAGGUGGGACUGGU